RNAcentral lists this ribosomal RNA (253 nucleotides) under uncultured bacterium. RNAcentral's name for it is "partial 16S ribosomal RNA". It matches the Rfam family "Bacterial small subunit ribosomal RNA", at positions 524 to 776 of the family's 1533-position model. The record is from RNAcentral.
UACGUAGGGUGCGAGCGUUAAUCGGAAUUACUGGGCGUAAAGCGUGCGCAGGCGGUUUUGUAAGCCCGAUGUGAAAUCCCCGGGCUUAACCUGGGAAUGGCAUUUGGGACUGCAAGGCUUGAGUGCGGCAGAGGAGACUGGAAUUCCUGGUGUAGCAGUGAAAUGCGUAGAUAUCAGGAGGAACACCGGUGGCGAAGGCGGGUCUCUGGGCCGAUACUGACGCUGAGGAGCGAAAGCGUGGGGAGCGAACAGG